GAUGAACGCUGGCGGCGUGCUUAACACAUGCAAGUCGAACGGUAAGGCCCCUUCGGGGGUACACGAGUGGCGAACGGGUGCGUAACACGUGAGCAAUCUGCCCCUAACACUGGGAUAAGCGCUUGAAAAGGCGUCUAAUACCGGAUAUCAACUAGAUAGGCAUCUAUUUAGUUUGAAAGCUCCGGCGGUUAGGGAUGAGCUCGCGGCCUAUCAGCUUGUUGGUGAGGUAAAGGCUCACCAAGGCUUCGACGGGUAGCCGGCCUGAGAGGGUGACCGGCCACACUGGGACUGAGAUACGGCCCAGACUCCUACGGGAGGCAGCAGUGGAGAAUACUGCACAAUGGGCGCAAGCCUGAUGCAGCAACGCCGCGUGCGGGAUGACGGCCUUCGGGUUGUAAACCGCUUUCAGCAGGGACGAAGCGAAAGUGACGGUACCUGCAGAAGAAGCACCGGCUAAACUACGUGCCAGCAGCCGCGGUGAUACGUAGGGUGCGAGCGUUAUCCGGGAAUUAUUGGGCGUAAAGAGCUUGUAGGCGGUCUUGCACGUCGGACGUGAAAACUCGGGGCUUAACCCCGAGCCUGCGUUCGAUACGGCUUGACUAGAGGAAUGUAGGGGAGAAUGGAAUUCCUGGUGGAGCGGUGGAAUGCGCAGAUAUCAGGAGGAACACCGAUGGCGAAGGCAGUUCUCUGGGCAUUUCCUGACGCUGAGAAGCGAAAGCGUGGGGAGCAAACAGGCUUAGAUACCCUGGUAGUCCACGCCGUAAACGGUGGGCACUAGGUGUGGGGCGAAUUCUCUCGUUCCGCGCCGUAGCUAACGCAUUAAGUGCCCCGCCUGGGGAGUACGGCCGCAAGGCUAAAACUCAAAGGAAUUGACGGGGGCCCGCACAAGCGGCGGGAGCAUGCGGAUUAAUUCGAUGCAACGCGAAGAACCUUACCUGGAUUUGACAUAUACCGGAAACACCUAGAGAUAGGUGCCCCGCAAGGUCGGUAUACAGGUGGUGCAUGGCUGUCGUCAGCUCGUGUCGUGAGAUGUUGGGUUAAGUCCCGCAACGAGCGCAACCCUCGUCCUAUGUUGCCAGCACGUAAUGGUGGGAACUCAUGGGAGACUGCCGGGGUCAACUCGGAGGAAGGUGGGGAUGACGUCAAGUCAUCAUGCCCCUUAUGUCCAGGGCUUCACGCGUGCUACAAUGGCUGGUACAAAGGGCUGCAAUACCGCAAGGUGGAGCGAAUCCCAUAAAGCCAGUCUCAGUUCGGAUUGGGGUCUGCAACUCGACCCCAUGAAGUCGGAGUCGCUAGUAAUCGCAGAUCAGCAACGCUGCGGUGAAUACGUUCCCGGGCCU
This 1340-nucleotide ribosomal RNA is filed under the name uncultured bacterium. Its description in RNAcentral is "bacterial SSU rRNA". It matches the Rfam family "Bacterial small subunit ribosomal RNA", at positions 28 to 1381 of the family's 1533-position model. The record is from RNAcentral.